RNAcentral lists this long non-coding RNA (1181 nucleotides) under Strigops habroptila (Kakapo). RNAcentral describes it as "lncRNA (ENSSHBG00005006919.1)". Lineage: Eukaryota; Metazoa; Chordata; Aves; Psittaciformes; Psittacidae. The record is from RNAcentral.
GUUGCACUCUGUGGAAAAGUUACUACAUAGUGCUUUAAAAUCCUGCUGAGCCUUUUCUUAAGCCAGUCUUCAGGACAGCCUGAUGGGUUUGGGUUUGGUGUUUGCUUUGAAGUCCCCAUGGCUGCAUUUCAAACUGCUCAGCUUCCUGAUGCUUCUUGACUUCACCAACUUUGUUUCAAUGUGCUGCUGGAUUGAGUUAUCAGUGUUGUCUCCCCUUGUCUGCAGCCUUGACCUGUCUGCUGCCUCCGUGCAGUGCUGGGGACCAACAAGAAGCCCUGCUCUGAGACAGCAUUUGCUGAACAAACGUGAGGCAGCCACCAUGUGAGGAAAGGGGGUAUGGCGCCAGCCUGAGGACCAUGCUGUGGAUGGAAGUGCGUCUGGCGUGGGUUUGUCCUGUGCUAUUUUAAAAAGGGUUUAAAAACAACUCAAGGGCUUGUCUUGUGUGAAUAGCUGUGCAUCUAACAACAGGCAUCAGACUUGCCUACAUGAGAUAGGGCUAAAUCUGGAGGUUUUGGCUCAGAUGCAAUGUUUGUCUGUAAUCCUCCUGGAACUUGACUAGCAGCAGGUGUAAGUGGAAGGGGAGCUGUGGUUGGUAGGGGGUUAAACCAGUCACCCACCUCGCCCCACAAAGCUACUGAUCAUCCAUCUGGAGCAAGAGGGUCUCCGUCUGCUUGAUACCAAAUAUCUCUGUCCAUCUCUAUGGUGCUGUGCUCGGCCACGGCAGCAGCAGGGCCUCUGCUGGUGCUGGUUCCUCAUCUCCCGGCCAGGUUUGGUGAGCUCGGAUGCCACCUAGCUGCUCUGUUCUUGUCUCCUACUGCCGCGCUCAGCCCCGUCUGAAAGGCAGUAUGGGAACUGAAUGGAAUAAAAUCCAACCAGAAAGGCAGACAUUGCUGUUUUAAAGUAGCUUCAAAGAAUACUUGAUACAACCAGUACUUUACCUCUGUUUGCUGCUAAAAGCUGUGUGUGUUAAAGUUGGCUUAACUGAGUAAAUGGCUUAAAAUGCUUGGGUCUGCAAAACAUUUUGCUUUGUAAUUGUUAUGAUGUCUUGGGGCACAUUUUUUGGAAUAGGUGUUGCAAGACAAAGCAGAAUUCAUUUUCCUCCUUUUUUUUUUUUUCUCUGUUAUUACUGUUUUAACUGGAGAAAGUGGAACAUGUGCUGCUGAUUAAAACACGGCGUUGUA